CCGAGUUUACAACUCCCAAACCCCAAUGUGAACGUUACCAAACUGUUGCCUCGGCGGGAUUUCUGCCCCGGGCGCGUCGCAGCCCCGGACCAAGGCGCCCGCCGGAGGACCAAACCUUACAAACUCUUUUUGUAUGUCCCUCUGCGGACUCUUUACAUUUCUGAGCUUUCUCGGCGCUCCUAGCGAGCGUUUCGAAAAUGAAUCA
RNAcentral lists this unclassified non-coding RNA (205 nucleotides) under soil metagenome. RNAcentral's name for it is "partial internal transcribed spacer 1". The record is from RNAcentral.